RNAcentral lists this ribosomal RNA (1358 nucleotides) under uncultured bacterium. RNAcentral describes it as "bacterial SSU rRNA". It matches the Rfam family "Bacterial small subunit ribosomal RNA", at positions 28 to 1381 of the family's 1533-position model. The record is from RNAcentral.
AUUGAACGCUGGCGGCAGGCUUAACACAUGCAAGUCGAGCGGGGAAUGGUAGCUUGCUACCUGACCUAGCGGCGGACGGGUGAGUAAUGCUUAGGAAUCUGCCUAUUAGUGGGGGACAACAUUCCGAAAGGAAUGCUAAUACCGCAUACGCCCUACGGGGGAAAGCAGGGGAUCUUCGGACCUUGCGCUAAUAGAUGAGCCUAAGUCAGAUUAGCUAGUUGGUGGGGUAAAGGCCUACCAAGGCGACGAUCUGUAGCGGGUCUGAGAGGAUGAUCCGCCACACUGGGACUGAGACACGGCCCAGACUCCUACGGGAGGCAGCAGUGGGGAAUAUUGGACAAUGGGCGCAAGCCUGAUCCAGCCAUGCCGCGUGUGUGAAGAAGGCCUUUUGGUUGUAAAGCACUUUAAGCGAGGAGGAGGCUACUGAGAUUAAUACUCUUGGAUAGUGGACGUUACUCGCAGAAUAAGCACCGGCUAACUCUGUGCCAGCAGCCGCGGUAAUACAGAGGGUGCGAGCGUUAAUCGGAUUUACUGGGCGUAAAGCGUGCGUAGGCGGCUUUUUAAGUCGGAUGUGAAAUCCCUGAGCUUAACUUAGGAAUUGCAUUCGAUACUGGGAAGCUAGAGUAUGGGAGAGGAUGGUAGAAUUCCAGGUGUAGCGGUGAAAUGCGUAGAGAUCUGGAGGAAUACCGAUGGCGAAGGCAGCCAUCUGGCCUAAUACUGACGCUGAGGUACGAGAGCAUGGGGAGCAAACAGGAUUAGAUACCCUGGUAGUCCAUGCCGUAAACGAUGUCUACUAGCCGUUGGGGCCUUUGAGGCUUUAGUGGCGCAGCUAACGCGAUAAGUAGACCGCCUGGGGAGUACGGUCGCAAGACUAAAACUCAAAUGAAUUGACGGGGGCCCGCACAAGCGGUGGAGCAUGUGGUUUAAUUCGGUGCAACGCGAAGAACCUUACCUGGUCUUGACAUAGUAAGAACUUUCAGAGAUGGAUUGGUGCCUUCGGGAACUUACAUACAGGUGCUGCAUGGCUGUCGUCAGCUCGUGUCGUGAGAUGUUGGGUUAAGUCCCGCAACGAGCGCAACCCUUUUCCUUAUUUGCCAGCGGGCUAAGCCGGGAACUUUAAGGAUACUGCCAGUGACAAACUGGAGGAAGGCGGGGACGACGUCAAGUCAUCAUGGCCCUUACGACCAGGGCUACACACGUGCUACAAUGGUCGGUACAAAGGGUUGCUACCUAGCGAUAGGAUGCUAAUCUCAAAAAGCCGAUCGUAGUCCGGAUUGGAGUCUGCAACUCGACUCCAUGAGGUCGGAAUCGCUAGUAAUCGCGGAUCAGAAUGCCGCGGUGAAUACGUUCCCGGGCCU